UCGCGAAAACUCCGCAAUGCGCGAAAGCGCGACGGGGUCACCCCGAGUGCCAUCCGCUGAGGAUGGCUUUUCCCCAGUGUAGAAAGCUGGGGGAAUAAGGGGAGGGCAAGUCGGGUGUCAGCCGCCGCGGUAAUACCCGCUCCCCGAGUGGUGGGGACGCUUAUUGGGCCUAAAGCAUCCGUAGCCGGCUGGGUUAGUCCCCUGUUAAAUCCAGCGAUUCAAUCGCUGGACUGCGGGGGAUACUGCCCGGCUAGGGGGCGGGAGAGGCCGGCGGUAUUCCCGGGGUAGGGGUGAAAUCCUAUAAUCCCGGGAGGACCACCAGUGGCGAAGGCUGCCGGCUAGAACGUGCCCGACGGUGAGGGAUGAAAGCUGGGGGAGCGAACCGGAUUAGAUACCCGGGUAGUCCCAGCCGUAAACGAUGCGGGCUAGGUGUUGACACGGCUACGGGCCGUGUCAGUGCCGCAGGGAAGCCGUUAAGCCCGCCGCCUGGGGAGUACGGCCGCAAGGCUGAAACUUAAAGGAAUUGGCGGGGGAGCACCACAAGGGGUGAAGCUUGCGGUUUAAUUGGAGUCAACGCCGGAAACCUUACCGGGGGCGACAGCAGGAUGAAGGCCAGAUUGAAGGUCUUACCAGACAAGCU
Molecule: ribosomal RNA, 640 nt
Filed under: uncultured archaeon
Lineage: Archaea
Description: bacterial SSU rRNA
Rfam family: Archaeal small subunit ribosomal RNA
Source: RNAcentral